RNA transcript from Chenopodium quinoa (quinoa), 2744 nucleotides. It is a transcript of the gene named F-box/kelch-repeat protein At3g06240-like, with no coding region annotated. Lineage: Eukaryota; Viridiplantae; Streptophyta; Magnoliopsida; Caryophyllales; Amaranthaceae. The record is from RefSeq and is a predicted model, not a curated record. The transcript is spliced from 5 exons.
AGCUCGCAACAGAAAAGUCAAUUUGGUCAGCAUACAAGUUUGCCAUUUGUGACACUAAGAUACAUACAAAUUCGCCAUUGUUGUACAAGCUUGCUCUGAAAAACCUCCAAAAAUUCUUCGAAUUUGAUUUGAUUUCAUUUGAAAUUGAUUUGGUUUCAAUUGAAUUGAAUUUGAUUAGACUGACUUAGGUUUAGAAAGAAAUAAAUUGAAUUGAUUUGAUAAAAUUGAAGUAAUGAAUUUUAUUUUAUUAGGCUGACUAUCUGUUGUCUGAUUUUUUUUAUAAACUCUUCCGAUUGGAUGAUCAGAUGGAAAGAGAUGCUAUGAAAGGCCUUGGAUGCUAUUGAAGUAGUUACAUUUGACUAUCUUGGGGGAAAAACUUUGAGAUAGAGUUGGACGUGCAGUCGUGGCUGCUGUGCACAGAUUUAGCUGUAUUUGUAGGAAAGGUCUUACUUCAAUUCUAAAUGGUUUAAGCCAUCCUGUCUUGGAUUUCAGCCUCACCAUUCAGGUUUUCUGUCAAAAUUUGGUGCAGGACUAUUCCUAUUGGUUCAGGUUAUUUUACUAUUGGAUUUCACUUACACAUGCAAUGAUCCUUGGGUUGAGAUUGAUGAGCAUAAAUGGCAUACUUGGCACCAGCUGAAAACAGAUUGGGGAAAUCAUGUAGUCGUCAAGAGUUGUAAUAUUAGCUUUGAGGUAAGUUGAUGAUGUGUCAUACUUUUAUCUUUUUGGUCUUUUGAUGCUUUUUAUGGAGCUUUAAUGUUGAAUUUUGUGGAAAUUAUGUUAGUUAGCUCUUUAUUGUAGUUCAAUGCUUAGCUUGGGAUCUUGAUUGAUUGAAAAGGGGAAAAACAAAAGUGUUCUUCAAUCCCAAGAUCGGUUCUUGUUCAUUCUACAGAUUUGAAAUUUCAAGCAAUUAAUUUUUCUUUUGAGAAGAAAUUAAUUGGGGUUCAAAAUAAUUCAGUUGAUUUAAAUAUUGUUGAUGAAUUGGGUUUUUACAAUAAGUUUGAUGAAAUUGUAAAUUUGGGAUAUUAUGUAGACUUAAUGGGCUCAAGCAAUGGAUUAAUUUGUCUGUUUUUUUCAUCAAUUAAUGAGGCAUGGUGCAAUAAUUAUGUGGUAUAUAAUCCUUGCAUUGAAUCCCACAUUGAAAUCAAAGACCACCGUGAAUUUGAAGAGAAAGAAAUACAAUAUGGUUUUGGUUAUGUUAAUCUGCUGGAUGAUUAUGAGAUCAUCAAUAUUGAUUUUGUGGAGGAUAUGCAGUACGCUGAUAUGGUGGUGUCAGUUUAUUCUGUAAGGUCAAAACAGUGGAGACAUAAGUAUGUUGAAAAAACACUAGAUUAUGACAAACAGCCUUGGGCUUGUAGUAAGUUUGUGGGAGAGUUAAUCAAGGAAACACAGUACUGGGGUGUGAUUGUAGGCAAGGAAGGGGCACUUAAGAAGUGCAUCUUUGCGUUCGAUUUGGGUAAAGAAGAAUUCAAAAUCAUGCCGUUGCCUAAACCGAAUUUAGGGGAUGACGAUGGGCUUCGGCGUUUGGGGUUUGGUUUGUGUAAUAUAAAUGAUUGUUUGUAUGCUUGGGGGAAAUAUAACGAGGGUUAUUUAGAGUUAUGGAAGUUUAAAGAUGGAGGGGUGGGGGUGGAAUCAUGGAUUAAGCUGUGGGCUUUUAAUGUGAUGGAGCCAGUUGGGUGUUCAAGAUUGUAGGGAUUUGUUCUUAUUGAAUGAAUAUGGAAAAAUUAUGAUCCUCACCGGUGCAGAUGCACUCGUGUUUGCGGACAUCAACCACGAUCCGCCUGCAUCUGUGUAUAUUGAAUGCAAGAAGAUCGGUGCAGUGAACUAUCUGUUCAGUCUGGUAUCACCUACACACCUUUAAUUGGCAUAAAUACAUAAUGCAUACAUAGGUUAGGUUUGUAUUGUUGUAAUAUUUCACUAGAUAGUCUUCUAACAAUUUGUGUAGGAGCAAUCUCACAUAGAAUUUUUAGAGAAGUUUGUGUUGCUUUUAUAGUGUUGUGUACUUUUGAUGAUGUCAACAUUAUAAUUAUUUGUUUGUUUCCCACAUUGACAAAAUAAAAUGUAAUUGAUAGUUUAGUAUGGUUUUUAGAUGAAUAGCUUGCAUUAUUCUAUGUGUUUAAUAUAGAGAAAAGAUAGUUUAGUAUGGUUUUUAGAUGAAUAUAAUGCUUGCAUUAUUCUAUGUGUUUAAUAUAGAGAAAAGAUUGUGCAUGAGCUUAGUAUUGAACACUUUGCACGACUGCACGCGCUGCGGUCUGAAAUUAUUCUUAAGUUGAUGUACUGAACUACUGAUGUAUGGUAGAUUGGUAGAUGAAAGUUAUAUUCAUGGGCGGAUGUAGUGUAGGGGGGUUCAAUGGAGCUGUUACUAGUUUUAAUUUUUUUUGUGAGUCAAAUAAUUUGUUGAGUAUGUAUGGUGCAUUGGUAAGGAGCUCACUGUUAGAUCAGCGUGUUCCUCCUAAGUCUUGGUUCGAUUCUUUCUGCCCUCAUUGUCAAAUAUGUGUUUAUUAGGGACUUGGAAUCCUCAAAUAGAAGAAGAUAUUGUGUCUCCUAUUGACGAUGCGGACAUUGAGUCGCAAAAUUUUAACUUAUGUAUUAAAUAUUUAAUUGAUAUAUAAUCAUCGUUUUUUUAAUAUUUCGAACCCACUGUUCGAAAUUCCUGAAUACGCCACUGAUUAUGUUGCAUUUAAUGUUGGUAGGUGGUGGUUUAUGGUUUAUAGACCAUUCAUUUGCAAGUGACGUAAUAUUAGUCC